UAGGGAAUUUUCGUCAAUGGGGGAGACCCUGAACGAGCAAUGCCGCGUGUGUGAAGAAGGUCUUCGGAUCGUAAAGCACUGUUGUAAGUGAAGAAUGCCAUAUAGAGGAAAUGCUAUGUGGGUGACGGUAGCUUACCAGAAAGCCACGGCUAACUACGUGCCAGCAGCCGCGGUAAUACGUAGGUGGCAAGCGUUAUCCGGAAUCAUUGGGCGUAAAGGGUGCGUAGGUGGCACGAUAAGUCUGAAGUAAAAGGCAACAGCUCAACUGUUGUAUGCUUUGGAAACUGUCGAGCUAGAGUGCAGAAGAGGGCGAUGGAAUUCCAUGUGUAGCAGUAAAGUGCGUAGAUAUAUGGAGGAACACCAGUGGCGAAGGCGGUCGCCUGGUCUGUAACUGACACUGAUGCACGAAAGCGUGGGGGAGCAAAUAGGAUUAGAUACC
This 439-nucleotide ribosomal RNA is filed under the name uncultured bacterium. RNAcentral's name for it is "bacterial SSU rRNA". It matches the Rfam family "Bacterial small subunit ribosomal RNA", at positions 355 to 786 of the family's 1533-position model. The record is from RNAcentral.